This 604-nucleotide ribosomal RNA is filed under the name uncultured bacterium. Its description in RNAcentral is "bacterial SSU rRNA". It matches the Rfam family "Bacterial small subunit ribosomal RNA", at positions 262 to 857 of the family's 1533-position model. The record is from RNAcentral.
GGCUCACCAAGGCUACGAUCUUUAGCUGGUCUGAGAGGACGAUCAGCCACAUUGGGACUGAGACACGGCCCAGACUCCUACGGGAGGCAGCAGUGGGGAAUAUUGGACAAUGGGCGCAAGCCUGAUCCAGCCAUACCGCGUGUGUGAAGAAGGCCUUCGGGUUGUAAAGCACUUUAAGCAGGGAGAAAAAGUUAUAAGUUAAUACCUUAUAACCGUGAUGUUACCUGCAGAAUAAGCACCGGCUAAUUCCGUGCCAGCAGCCGCGGUAAUACGGAAGGUGCAAGCGUUAAUCGGAAUUACUGGGCGUAAAGCGCGCGUAGGUGGUUUGUUAAGUUGGAUGUGAAAGCCCUGGGCUCAACCUAGGAACUGCAUCCAAAACUAACUCACUAGAGUACGAUAGAGGGAGGUAGAAUUCAUAGUGUAGCGGUGGGAAUGCGUAGAUAUUAUGAAGAAUACCGGUGGCGAAGGCGGCCUCCUGGAUCUGUACUGACACUGAGGUGCGAAAGCGUGGGUAGCGAACAGGAUUAGAUACCCUGGUAGUCCACGCCGUAAACGAUGACAACUAGCUGUUGGGAGACAAUGUCUUUCAGUGGCGCAGCUAACG